Long non-coding RNA from Eleginops maclovinus (Patagonian blennie), 1133 nucleotides. RefSeq lists it as uncharacterized. The record is from RefSeq and is a predicted model, not a curated record. NCBI's taxonomy places the organism in Eukaryota, Metazoa, Chordata, Actinopteri, Perciformes, Eleginopidae. The transcript is spliced from 2 exons.
UCUCUGUCGGCUGAAGAAAGGAUUACAAUGAGCUGCUAGAUAAGGAAGAUAAUCCCUGUCGGCUGAGGCUGCAAGCACAAAUUAUUGAAGAUUUUGGCAUAAAGCCUACUAGACCAAUGUAAUGUAUCACAUGAUGGUGAAAUAUCUCAUGAACAAAUCACAAUUACACACUUGUUCAUGCUGUAUUGCACUGAUUAUUCCUCUACAACACAUGACAGCAUGCAUACUGUUCACUGAGUCACAUGAGUCUUUAUUGUGUAAUAUCCUCCCUCUACUAACCCUUCCGUACUAACUUUCUGCUUCUCUCAGCCAGCCUCUUAAGAAUUCAGUUGCCUGUGGUGCCUUGUUGUAAAUUAGAGCUAACUGGUGGGAAGUGACCACUGCUGGCACACAACAUCCCUGGAAGUCUCAAGCAGGAUUUGGGAAACUUGAAGACACAUCUGCAGCACAGAAGGCCAACAGGAGCUCACGUCCUCCAGAAUCUUUUCUCUGCUGAAGACUAGGAUGGCAGAUUGCGGGUCGUGUUUCUGGAGCAUCAUCUGGCUGGUUAUUCUGCUCUUCAUCGGCUGGCCACUUAGCAUCUUCCUCGGGGGGCUCUACGGUCUCUUCUGCCCACUCACCACCUGCCUCGGCCUGGACAGACUCACCGAUCUGCUCCUGGAGGGGGCCAACCUGGGCCGCACCUGUGCCAAUAACAUGAAGCACAGCAAGCCUUUGUGCUAAAAUCCACCCAGAAGCAGAGAUGGGAGGAGAGAUGGUUGCUUUCUUACUGAAAAACAUCCUUUCCUUUAAGGGAAACAGUUAAUAUGGUUUCAUGUGGAGAUGUCCUGAGAUGAUUGCCACUGCAUACAGCCAGGAACUUUUCAGCAAAUUAUGUAACAAAAAGUUCCAGAAGGUUUGCAAAAACGAUUCCAAGUGUUCUGUUAACAUGUAAUUAACCAUGGAUUUGAAAUUUGUAUGGGUAUGUCUGGAAGAAAAUAGGCUUUGUGUUCAUGGUCUGUGUUUGCUGUUUAAUUCAUGAUGACACUGCAUGCAGAAGAUAAGAAUGAAAAUGGCAUUUUAACAAUGGAAAUGCUUAGACUUGUAAAUGACUGUAUGGAAACUUUUAAUGCGAUUAAAUAGCUUUGAAGUUG